AAGAGUUUGAUCCUGGCUCAGGAUGAACGCUGGCGGCGUGCCUAAUACAUGCAAGUCGAGCGAACAGAUAAGGAGCUUGCUCCUUUGACGUUAGCGGCGGACGGGUGAGUAACACGUGGAUAACCUACCUAUAAGACUGUCUUUUUCUUCGGGAAACCGGAGCUAAUACCGGAUAACAUAUUGAACCGCAUGGUUCAAUAGUGAAAGGCGGCUUUGCUGUCACUUAUAGAUGGAUCCGCGCCGUAUUAGCUAGUUGGUAAGGUAACGGCUUACCAACGCAACGAUACGUAGCCGACCUGAGAGGGUGAUCGGCCACACUGGAAGUGAGACACGGUCCAGACUCCUACGGGAGGCAGCAGUAGGGAAUCUUCCGCAAUGGGCGAAAGCCUGACGUUCAACGCCGCGUGAGUGAUGAAGGUCUUCGGACAUCAUCUCUGUUAUCAGGGAAGAACAAAUGUGUAAGUAACUGUGCACAUCUG
This 479-nucleotide ribosomal RNA is filed under the name Staphylococcus warneri. RNAcentral describes it as "bacterial SSU rRNA". It matches the Rfam family "Bacterial small subunit ribosomal RNA", at positions 1 to 473 of the family's 1533-position model. Lineage: Bacteria; Bacillati; Bacillota; Bacilli; Caryophanales; Staphylococcaceae. The record is from RNAcentral.